This 253-nucleotide ribosomal RNA is filed under the name uncultured bacterium. RNAcentral describes it as "partial 16S ribosomal RNA". It matches the Rfam family "Bacterial small subunit ribosomal RNA", at positions 524 to 776 of the family's 1533-position model. The record is from RNAcentral.
UACGUAGGGCGCAAGCGUUGUCCGGAAUUAUUGGGCGUAAAGAGCUCGUAGGUGGUGUGUCGCGUCUGCCGUGAAAUCCCGGGGCUCAACCCCGGGCCUGCAGUGGAUACGGGCUGGCUAGAGGCAGGCAGGGGAGAACGGAAUUCCUGGUGUAGCGGUGAAAUGCGCAGAUAUCAGGAGGAACACCGGUGGCGAAGGCGGUUCUCUGGGCCUGUACUGACGCUGAGGAGCGAAAGCGUGGGGAGCGAACAGG